Molecule: ribosomal RNA, 465 nt
Filed under: uncultured bacterium
Lineage: Bacteria
Description: partial 16S ribosomal RNA
Rfam family: Bacterial small subunit ribosomal RNA
Source: RNAcentral
CCUACGGGGGGCAGCAGUGGGGAAUAUUGCGCAAUGGGCGAAAGCCUGACGCAGCGACGCCGCGUGAGGGAUGAAGGUCUUCGGAUCGUAAACCUCUGUCAGCAGGGAAGAACGGUCACUGUGCUAAUCAGCAGUGAAUUGACGGUACCUGCAAAGGAAGCACCGGCUAACUCCGUGCCAGCAGCCGCGGUAAUACGGAGGGUGCGAGCGUUAAUCGGAAUUACUGGGCGUAAAGCGCUCGUAGGCGGUAUGUCAAGUCAAGGGUGAAAUCCCCGCGCUCAACGUGGGAACUGCCUUUGAAACUGGCAAACUGGAGUGUGUGAGAGGAUAGUGGAAGUCCAGGUGUAGGAGUGAAAUGCGUAGAUAUCUGGAGGAACAUCAGUGGCGAAGGCGACUAUCUGGCACAUAACUGACGCUGAGGAGCGAAAGCGUGGGUAGCAAACAGGAUUAGAUACCCUGGUAGUC